This is a long non-coding RNA of Rosa chinensis, 753 nucleotides long. RefSeq lists it as uncharacterized. The transcript is spliced from 3 exons. The record is from RefSeq and is a predicted model, not a curated record. NCBI's taxonomy places the organism in Eukaryota, Viridiplantae, Streptophyta, Magnoliopsida, Rosales, Rosaceae.
GGUAGGUUGAAACUGAAUAUGAUGAACAACUGGCAGGUGGUAAGGUGGAAGAAUGGGAAGAUACAAUUCAAGAGAGUGAACAUGUUCAAGAUCAGCUGACUGUUAUUGAUCUUAACUAUUUGAGCAUAGUGGAAUAACGGGUGGAUUUGAGUCCUGAAAAGCUAAAGAAGGUAGUGGUGAUAUUAGGUGUUUGAAGACAAGUAAGUUAAUUGCUACUUAUAAAAGCUCAAAGUUAGUAAGGUGUUUGAAAGUUAUGAGAUAAUUGAUUCCCUUGGACCAGAGGUUAUUCUUUACGAUGCAAAUGUUCCGGGUGAAGGGGAGCAGAAGGUUAUGUCGUACAUUCUUCUUCAAAGAAAUCUUCUUGGAAUCAGAGAAACUUUGGAACAUAUUCGCAAGCUCAAGAAUAAAGAGGUUAUGCUUCUUCCCAGGUAUUUUGAGACUUUGGUGAAAGGACUGUGCAAGGCUAAUAGAUUUGCAGAUGCUUUGGAGAUUUUGGAUAUUAUGAAGAAAAGAGAUUUUGUUGAUAAAAAUGUUUACGGGAUUAUUACUUGAGAAAGAAUGAUGUUUCUAGAGUUGAUAUGUUUUUAUAGUAUGAAAGAAUCUGGAUAUUUGCCUACUGCUUCUACCUACACCAAACUGAUGCAGCAGCUCUUCAAUGUGAAUGAGUAUCAAAAAGGUUGUGACCUGUAUGAUGUGAUACUUGAAACAGGAGUGUAAUAUAAUGCCAGCUCCAAUACUUUCAUUUUUAAAAUA